Molecule: long non-coding RNA, 429 nt
Organism: Lolium rigidum
Lineage: Eukaryota; Viridiplantae; Streptophyta; Magnoliopsida; Poales; Poaceae
Exons: 3
Source: RefSeq, a predicted model, not a curated record
UAGCUGCAGCAUGGUUAUGAAAUUUAAGUACUCUACCAAAAAGGGGACUACGGGCUUCAACAUCAGUAAAUUAAUUAGGAAAUAACACUUCCAAGAUCAUCUACUGCCACCAAGUUCAUGUAGAUCAAAUGUUCAUAGCCAUCAGCAGGUGCAUGAAUUCAGAGGCUGGACGUGAUGGAAAAUCACAGCUGAGAUUUAUAGUGUUGCGAUGCUAAUUUAGAGAUCUUGGCAAGCAAGAUGUAUGCAAAUUAUUCCGUCGUCUCCUCAACAGCUUCUGGAUGUUCGAAAAUACAAAGCUACUGGCUGGUUUUGAAUACUACUUCCGAACCUAGCCAAAGAGAAGCAGGAGGUUGUCUUGCUGUUAACACUAAUUGCUGCAAGAAAAUGGCAACUUAUUUUUGCCUCUAAUUUAGUGUGAUCAGUUCACCG